RNAcentral lists this ribosomal RNA (454 nucleotides) under uncultured bacterium. RNAcentral describes it as "partial 16S ribosomal RNA". It matches the Rfam family "Bacterial small subunit ribosomal RNA", at positions 28 to 507 of the family's 1533-position model. The record is from RNAcentral.
GAUGAACGCUGACAGAAUGCUUAACACAUGCAAGUCAACUUGAACUUCGGUUUGGGUGGCGGACGGGUGAGUAACGCGUAACGAACUUGCCUCACAGCUAGGGACAACAUUUGGAAACGAAUGCUAAUACCUGAUAUUAUGAUUUUAGGGCAUCCUAGAAUUAUGAAAGCUAUAUGCGCUGUGAGAGAGCUUUGCGUCCCAUUAGCUAGUUGGAGAGGUAACGGCUCACCAAGGCGAUGAUGGGUAGCCGGCCUGAGAGGGUGAACGGCCACAAGGGGACUGAGACACGGCCCUUACUCCUACGGGAGGCAGCAGUGGGGAAUAUUGGACAAUGGACCAAGAGUCUGAUCCAGCAAUUCUGUGUGCACGAUGAAGUUUUUCGGAAUGUAAAGUGCUUUCAGUUGGGAAGAAAAAAAUGACGGUACCAACAGAAGAAGUGACGGCUAAAUACGUG